Molecule: small nuclear RNA, 163 nt
Organism: Rhineura floridana
Lineage: Eukaryota; Metazoa; Chordata; Lepidosauria; Squamata; Rhineuridae
Product: U1 spliceosomal RNA
Exons: 1
Source: RefSeq, a predicted model, not a curated record
AUACUUACGUGGCAGGGGAGUUACCUUGAUCACGAAGGAGGUUUUCCCACAGUGAGGCUUAUCCACAGCACUCCGGAUGUGCUGACCCCUACAAUUUCUCCAAAUGUGGGAAAUUUGGCUGCAUAAUUUGUGGUAUCGUUGAACUGUAUUGUAUAACUGAAUU